RNAcentral lists this ribosomal RNA (323 nucleotides) under Cercomonadidae sp. RNAcentral describes it as "SSU rRNA". The stretch from base 108 to 323 matches the Rfam family "Eukaryotic small subunit ribosomal RNA", at positions 738 to 955 of the family's 1831-position model. Lineage: Eukaryota; Cercozoa; Cercomonadida; Cercomonadidae. The record is from RNAcentral.
GAUUUCUGGGUGACUGUGCUAGCCCGCUCCUUUCCGGGAGUGUGUGCCGGCAUACGUCAUUCAUCCUUCUAGAAAGCCUUGCCUGCCGUUCAUUCGGCCGGGCAUGUGCGGUCUAGAUCUUUUACUUUGAAUAAAUUAGAGUGUUUAAAGCAGGCUUGCGCUAUGAAUACAUUAGCAUGGAAUAAUAAUUUAGGACUUUGGUCUUAUUUUGUUGGUUUCUAGGACUAAAGUAAUGAUUGAUAGGGACAGUUGGGGGUGCUAGUAUUCAGCGGCCAGAGGUGAAAUUCUUGGAUUCGCUGAAGACUAACUUAUGCGAAAGCAUU